CCUACGUGUGGCAGCAGUGGGGCAUAUUGCACAAUGGGGGAAACCCUGAUGCAGCGACGCCGCGUGAGUGAAGAAGUAUUUCGGUAUGUAAAGCUCUAUCAGCAGGGAAGAAAAUAACGGUACCUGACUAAGAAGCCCCGGCUAACUACGUACCAGCAGACGAGGUAAUACGGAGGGGGCAAGCGUUAUCCGGCAUUACUGGGUGUAAAGGGAGCGUAGGCGGCAAGGUAAGCCAGAAGGGAAAGCCCGCGGCUCAAAUGCGGGACUGCUUUUGGAACUAUCUAGCUAGAUUGCAGGAGAGGUAAGUGGAAUUACUAGUGUAGCGGUGAAAUGCGUAGAUAUUAGGAGGAAAACCAGUGGCGAAGGCGGCUUACUGGACUGUAAAUGACGCUGAGGCUCGAAAGCGUGGGGAGCAAACAGGAUUAGAUACCCGGGUAGUC
This 440-nucleotide ribosomal RNA is filed under the name uncultured bacterium. RNAcentral describes it as "partial 16S ribosomal RNA". It matches the Rfam family "Bacterial small subunit ribosomal RNA", at positions 338 to 795 of the family's 1533-position model. The record is from RNAcentral.